This 700-nucleotide ribosomal RNA is filed under the name uncultured bacterium. RNAcentral describes it as "bacterial SSU rRNA". It matches the Rfam family "Bacterial small subunit ribosomal RNA", at positions 56 to 782 of the family's 1533-position model. The record is from RNAcentral.
UGCAAGUCGAGCGGCAGCGCGUCUAGUAUACUAGAUGGCGGCGAGCGGCGGACGGCUGAGUAACGCGUGGGAACGUGCCCCAAAGUGAGGAAUAACUGCCCGAAAGGGUAGCUAAUGCCGCAUAUGAUCUUCGGAUUAAAGUCUUCGGACGCUUUGGGAGCGGCCCGCGUCGGAUUAGGUUGUUGGUAGGGUAAUGGCCUACCAAGCCGACGAUCCGUAGCUGGUCUGAGAGGAUGAUCACCCAGACUGGAACUGAGACACGGUCCAGACUCCUACGGGAGGCAGCAGUGAGGAAUCUUCCACAAUGGGCGAAAGGCUGAUGGAGCAACGCCGCGUGAAGGAUGAAGGCCCUCGGGUUGUAAACUUCUUUUAUGAGUGAAGAAUAUGACGGUAACUCAUGAAUAAGCACCGGCUAACUACGUGCCAGCAGCCGCGGUCAUACGUAGGGUGCAAGCAUUAUCCGGAGUGACUGGGCGUAAAGAGUUGCGUACCCGGUUAGUAAAGCGAAUAGUGAAACCUGGUGGCUCAACCAUACAGACUAUUAUUCGAACUCACUAACUCGAGAAUGGUAGAGGUAACUGGAAUUUCUAGUGUAGGAGUGAAAUCCGUAGAUAUUAGAAGGAACACCAAUGGCGUAGGCAGGUUACUGGACCAUUUCUGACGCUAAGGCACGAGAGCGUGGGGCUCGAACCGGAUUAGA